RNAcentral lists this ribosomal RNA (508 nucleotides) under Glomus sp. Glo3. RNAcentral describes it as "SSU rRNA". It matches the Rfam family "Eukaryotic small subunit ribosomal RNA", at positions 569 to 1078 of the family's 1831-position model. The record is from RNAcentral. Lineage: Eukaryota; Fungi; Glomeromycota; Glomeromycetes; Glomerales; Glomeraceae.
AGCAGCCGCGGUAAUUCCAGCUCCAAUAGCGUAUAUUAAAGUUGUUGCAGUUAAAAAGCUCGUAGUUGAAUUUCGGGGUCAGUAGGUCGGUCGUGCCACUGGUAUGAACUGGUUUUACUGAUUCCUCCCUCUUGAAGAACUGUAAUGCCAUUAAUUUGGUGUUGCAGGGAAUCAGGACUGUUACUUUGAAAAAAUUAGAGUGUUUAAAGCAGGCUUUAGCUUGAAUACAUUAGCAUGGAAUAAUGAAAUAGGACGUUUGAUCCUAUUUUGUUGGUUUCUAGGAUUGACGUAAUGAUUAAUAGGGAUAGUUGGGGGCAUUAGUAUUCAAUUGUCAGAGGUGAAAUUCUUGGAUUUAUUGAAGACUAACUACUGCGAAAGCAUUUGCCGAGGAUGUUUUCAUUAAUCAAGAACGAAAGUUAGGGGAUCGAAGACGAUCAGAUACCGUCGUAGUCUUAACCAUAAACUAUGCCGACUAGGGAUCGGAUGAUGUUAAUUUUUUAAUGACUCA